CUGACUGGAACAUCUGCUGAACAGUUUUGUUAUAAUACAGUCAGUAGGUGCUCUUAAAUGGAAACUUACAGAUUACACAAUAUAAACAGGGUCCUACUGUUGGUGUUGGUCACAGGAGUGAUCCUUGCUAUUACAGUCCAAUUGAAGUCAACACACUGUAGGAUAACAUACUGUAAAGCAUAGUGGUGAUCUUACCUCCAGUAACUGGACUGGCAAUUGCAGAGAUUUAGAAAAAUGAAAAGGAGGUACUUCUCUACUCUGCUGCCCUAUUGCUCUUUUUUAAUUUCAAAGGCUUCUUUCAAGACCACUGUUUUCCCAAAUGGUUGCAAGAUGCUUACAUGUCUUUUUAAAACCAAUAAAAAUACCAGCUCAGCUUUACAAAAACACUGAACUGGAGACAAAAUGACAGAUAGCAUGAUGCUGGAUUAUUCUUGGAAGCAUUAUAUAUGCUCAGCAUGAAAGACUGAAACAUGCAGACUUUUACAGAUACUCAGGCUUUGUCUCAGACUUAGGCACAUAACAAUAAAUGAAAAUACUUUCUUUGCUACUUGAAAUUUAACUGAGAAUUCAGAUUCCAAGCAACAGAUUUAUUAUUUUGAUAUGCAGCAGUGAAUGCAGUAUUAGGAACGCAGUGAUACUGCUUGAGAACCAGAAACCCUUCAUAGUCUAGGACUGGAAUCUAUCAAAUGCUUAUCUAUGUGAAUAAGUUUAAGUAUUUGCUAGUAAAAGUAACCAGAGAUGCUUAAACUUCAGGUGCUUGCACUUGUAGUCUGGUGUUUGAACUAAUUUCUGCAUUUAUAGUUAAGACAGGAAAAUCAGCUGAAAGAUGGAAAAUAUUCAACUGUUCUUUCUCCCUCGCUCCCCAUAUUUGACACAAGAUGUAAUUCUCCACAUGGAAGCUAGGAAGGAAGAGGAUUUUGCUGGUAAGUCUGGAAGAGUUCCAAAAUAUCAUACUCAGUGUUGGCAAACCAAAGAAAUAUGAAAACACCUCACUAAGUAUACACACGACUAAACAUCACGAGAUUUCUCCAGCACUAUUGCUACCAGCUCAUUUAGCAGGAGCCAUAGAAUGAUCCCCUCUCCAGUAAUCAGGCUCAACCUGUUCACUCAAGUUCCAGGUGGCUUCUGAAAGUGUAAGUCUCUCUCAAGCCCCAGUGCCGCACACAAAAGGUAGGUAUAAACAUGUGCUUCUUUUGUGACAAACAAAAGAAGUGUUACACUUUGCUAAAAACACAGAGUGGAGCAUCUGUCCUGCAGCCUCAGUGUCACAGGGCUGGAGAUGUCAGUGUGAGAAUUCUUCAUCAGAUUCAAGGAGAAAAUUGCUAAUUUAAGAAGAUAGUGCUUUUCCAGAGAAAAUCUUCAUGCGAAUGAAUGUCCCAAAUCAUAGGGGGAAUGCAUCAUUUUAUUAUUGGUGGGUUCAUCUGUAGGACUUUGGUUUGUCUUAUAUGACAUGUAUAUUUGUCUUAUAUAACAUAUAUCUACUUUAAGGAUGCGCCUUUAAGGAAGCUCUAGGUAAAAUAGAAAACGAUUUUGAGACUAGGGUUUAUGACAUGGCAUGGCUGUAAAGAAGUCAAUCCACCACUGCUGCCUUCAUUGAGCUACUCUGGAUUUGGUUUCUUUACAGCCUUAUUCUUCUAAGCCUGAG
This is a long non-coding RNA of Pezoporus flaviventris, 1645 nucleotides long. RefSeq lists it as uncharacterized. The transcript has 4 exons. The record is from RefSeq and is a predicted model, not a curated record. NCBI's taxonomy places the organism in Eukaryota, Metazoa, Chordata, Aves, Psittaciformes, Psittacidae.